AGUUUGCAGAUGAAUUAUUAUUCCAAUCAAAUUAACAAAGGAACAUUUUAUAGUGACAACCAAAAUAGCAAAUUCAUUUGGAGGAUAUCCACAGAAAUAAUCAAGGUGGUAAUGACAGUAUAAUAGUCCCAAUUAGACAAAGAAUCAGAAAUAAUGUAACUCCAUAACCCAGUGUAUUAAAAAUUUAAAAAUAUAAAUUACCCAGGGGAAAAAAAAACCUACUAAUUUUAUAAUAGAAAAAAAUUGGGAAAGUAGUCAGUCAAUUAGCAUUUUAAAGAGCCUAGUAACUGCCAGACGUUGAACUCAGCACUUUGGAUACAAAGAAAGGCAAAAGCCAGUCCCUAUCCUCCAGCAGCUCACAAUCUGGGGGAGACAACAUGCAAACAAAUACAGCAUGUACAAACAAGCUAAAUAACGGAUAAAACAGGAAAUAAACAAAAGCAGGAAGGCACUAGAACGAAGAGAAAUUGGGGAAAGUUUUCCAUAGAAGGUGGGAUUUGAGCUGGAACUUAAAAGAAUCCAAGGAAGUCAGGAAGCAAAAGCGAGAGUCAUCGAAGUUAAUAAACGGAAGUGACAAGACGGGAGAGACUGUUUUAGGAAAAUCACUUUAAAGGCUGAAAGGAAGGUGGAUGAAUACUAGCAAUAAUCCUAUGAUAUAUUCUAAAAUAAAAUCAAAAUGGACUGGUGACCUGAAUAUUAAAACCAUUUUAGCCAUAGGGGAAAGUGGGUAACAGACGACCUGUGGAGCCAUAAAGAGGAAGAGGAGUAAAGUUCGAGAGCUUCACCAGAAGAGAGCUACUCUCGACCCCCCCUUCACUGUUCAUUGGCCGGGAGAAUUUCCCUUUUCGCUGCGGAUUGGCGAGAUCUUGGCGAGACUUUGCCCGUGAAUCAUUGGUUAUUGCCUGUGGAGUUAGCGACUACGCGGCUGCUUAUUUCCUGCUUAUUGGUUCCGGGGCGAGCGGCGGUCCUGCCCCCGGAAAUCGUCAGUCACUUCCUCUUUCAGCUUCCUUCGGUGAUGGAACCGGACCGGCACCUGAUGAGUGGUCUUCUGAGGUACAGACAGGAAUUUGGAAGCAAAGCAUCCUGUGGGACUUUGCAAAACAGCAGCAGUUCCUUCUAGCAGAACAACAGCUGGUACAAACACUAGAAGAUCAGAAGACAGUCUGGGCAAGCCUGAAGCAGGAGAAAGGAAACCCUGCAAGGACUCCACAGAGAACCAGACUCCUCUGA
This 1230-nucleotide long non-coding RNA is filed under the name Monodelphis domestica (gray short-tailed opossum). Its description in RNAcentral is "lncRNA (ENSMODG00000045428.1)". Lineage: Eukaryota; Metazoa; Chordata; Mammalia; Didelphimorphia; Didelphidae. The record is from RNAcentral.